Molecule: transfer RNA, 73 nt
Filed under: Marmota monax (woodchuck)
Lineage: Eukaryota; Metazoa; Chordata; Mammalia; Rodentia; Sciuridae
Description: tRNA.Met
Source: RNAcentral
GUUGGAAUGUAGCUCAGUGGUAAAGCACUUGCCUCAUGUACAAAGGUCCUGGGUUCCAUCCACAGUGUCAAAG